Molecule: unclassified non-coding RNA, 237 nt
Filed under: uncultured Clavulina
Lineage: Eukaryota; Fungi; Basidiomycota; Agaricomycetes; Cantharellales; Hydnaceae
Description: sequence contains ITS2
Source: RNAcentral
AAUUCUCAAGCUGGAUGCUUUUUUCAUCUCAGUUUGGUCUUGGGCUUUGUCGUGACUCCCCUUCAUUGGGAACGGCUGGCCUUAAAAAUAUUAGCUGACUCUCAUGUGGGAUUGGUUCUACUCAGCGUGAUAAUUGUGACCGCCGAGGACAUCUUUUUACUGGAUGGCCAAGCUCUAUUUGGGUUGCUUCUAAUCCUGGUUUUUGCGGAUUUUUGAUCUGUAAUUUCACUCUCACGA